RNAcentral lists this unclassified non-coding RNA (352 nucleotides) under soil metagenome. Its description in RNAcentral is "partial contains 5.8S ribosomal RNA, internal transcribed spacer 2, and large subunit ribosomal RNA". The stretch from base 1 to 120 matches the Rfam family "5.8S ribosomal RNA", at positions 35 to 154 of the family's 154-position model. The record is from RNAcentral.
GAUGAAGAACGUAGCGAAAUGCGAUAAGUAAUGUGAAUUGCAGAAUUCAGUGAAUCAUCGAAUCUUUGAACGCACAUUGCGCCCGCCAGUAUUCUGGCGGGCAUGCCUGUUCGAGUGUCAUUUCAACCCUCAGGCCCCCAGUGCCUGGUGUUGGGGAUCGGCCCAGCCUUCCUGUAAGGCCGCCGGCCCCGAAAUCUAGUGGCGGUCUCGCUGUAGUCCUCCUCUGCGUAGUAGCACAACCUCGCAGUUGGAACGCGGCGGUGGCCAUGCCGUUAAACACCCCACUUCUGAAAGUUGACCUCGGAUCAGGUAGGAAUACCCGCUGAACUUAAGCAUAUCAAUAAGCGGAGGA